GACGAACGCUGGCGGCGUGCCUAAUACAUGCAAGUAGAACGCUGAAACUUGGUGCUUGCACCGAGCGGAUGAGUUGCGAACGGGUGAGUAACGCGUAGGUAACCUGCCUGGUAGCGGGGGAUAACUAUUGGAAACGAUAGCUAAUACCGCAUAAGAGUAGAUGUUGCAUGACAUUUGCUUAAAAGGUGCAAUUGCACCACUACCAGAUGGACCUGCGUUGUAUUAGCUAGUUGGUGGGGUAACGGCUCACCAAGGCGACGAUACAUAGCCGACCUGAGAGGGUGAUCGGCCACACUGGGGCUGAGACACGGCCCAGACUCCUACGGGAGGCAGCAGUAGGGAAUCUUCGGCAAUGGACGGAAGUCUGACCGAGCAACGCCGCGUGAGUGAAGAAGGUUGUCGGAUCGUAAAGCUCUGUUGUAAGAGAAGAACGAGUGUGAGAGUGGAAAGUUCACACUGUGACGGUAUCUUACCAGAAAGGGACGGCUAACUACGUG
This 497-nucleotide ribosomal RNA is filed under the name uncultured bacterium. RNAcentral describes it as "partial 16S ribosomal RNA". It matches the Rfam family "Bacterial small subunit ribosomal RNA", at positions 28 to 507 of the family's 1533-position model. The record is from RNAcentral.